Molecule: ribosomal RNA, 425 nt
Filed under: Vibrio sp. I7E1_075
Lineage: Bacteria; Pseudomonadati; Pseudomonadota; Gammaproteobacteria; Vibrionales; Vibrionaceae
Also listed under: 1 other name
Description: bacterial SSU rRNA
Rfam family: Bacterial small subunit ribosomal RNA
Source: RNAcentral
GGUGAGUAAUGCCUGGGAAUAUGCCUUGAUGUGGGGGAUAACUAUUGGAAACGAUAGCUAAUACCGCAUAAUGCCUACGGGCCAAAGAGGGGGAUCUUCGGACCUCUCGCGUCAAGAUUAGCCCAGGUGGGAUUAGCUAGUUGGUGGGGUAAUGGCUCACCAAGGCGACGAUCCCUAGCUGGUUUGAGAGGAUGAUCAGCCACACUGGAACUGAGACACGGUCCAGACUCCUACGGGAGGCAGCAGUGGGGAAUAUUGCACAAUGGGGGAAACCCUGAUGCAGCCAUGCCGCGUGUAUGAAGAAGGCCUUCGGGUUGUAAAGUACUUUCAGUUGUGAGGAAGGCGGUAACGUUAAUAGCGUUGCCGUUUGACGUUAGCAACAGAAGAAGCACCGGCUAACUCCGUGCCAGCAGCCGCGGUAAUAC